Long non-coding RNA from Myotis myotis, 534 nucleotides. RefSeq lists it as uncharacterized. The transcript is spliced from 3 exons. The record is from RefSeq and is a predicted model, not a curated record. NCBI's taxonomy places the organism in Eukaryota, Metazoa, Chordata, Mammalia, Chiroptera, Vespertilionidae.
GCAGAAGGGCGAGCGGUCGGCGCACAGCAGGCCCCGCAGGAGCGUGCGGCUGUGCGGCGAGUCCCAGAGGCCCAGCAGCUGCGGGCGGGGACGGCGUGACCCGGACGCCCCAGUGCACCCCGCCCAGCCGCGCGUCCCCCGCAGCCCUCCGAACGCCCGUGAAACCCGCCCGUCCCCGCAUCACGCCACGGUGCCCCUGGCCUUCCCUGCAGGCUGUCCGAGGCCUUGGGGCCAGUUUAGAGAGAGCCUGGGAUGGGGCCGCAUCGGAGACUCACCUCCUCCGGGAUCUGUAAGAACCUCCCAGCCCCUCUUGGCCUUCUCGGACACCCCUUAGCCCUGCCUCUCUUCAGCCCAGAGGUCCCACCUGGAACACGUGGAAGCCCACAGUGAGCUGGCUGGCUCCCGCCGGAGUUGAAGCCUCGCACCCAGCGGCCCUGGAAGACGUGGGUGUGCCAGCCGCCUCCCGCAGGGCUGGGGCCCAGCACCUCCGGGCUCAGCGAGCAGAUCUGGACGGUGUUGAAGUGGCGGAGGAAG